This 406-nucleotide ribosomal RNA is filed under the name uncultured bacterium. Its description in RNAcentral is "partial 16S ribosomal RNA". It matches the Rfam family "Bacterial small subunit ribosomal RNA", at positions 29 to 526 of the family's 1533-position model. The record is from RNAcentral.
AUUGAACGCUGGCGGCAGGCCUAACACAUGCAAGUCGAACGAGUGGCGGACGGGUGAGUAAUGUGUGGGAAUCUCCCUUAUGGAGGGGGAUAACUACGGGAAACUGUAGCUAAUACCGCAUACCAUGAGAAGUGCCCAGGGGGGAUUCGCUAGUUGGUGGGGUAAAGGCUCACCAAGGCGACGACCCCUAGCUGGUCUGAGAGGAUGACCAGCCACACGGGGACUGAGACACGGCCCAGACUCCGACGGGAGGCAGCAGUGGGGAAUAUUGCACAAUGGGCGCAAGCCGGAUGCAGCCAUGCCGCGUGUAUGAAGAAGGCCUUCGGGUUGUAAAGUACUUUCAGUAGGGAGGCGUUACCGACAGAAGAAGCACCGGCUAACUCCGUGCCAGCAGCCGCGGUAAUAC